CAUGCAGGUUCCACUCAGUGAGAUGUGUAGAGAGUGAGAUGAUAAAGGUAUCUUACUCUCUGAUCAUUAAGGAAACAUUCAGUGAGAUGUGUAGAGAGUGAGAUGAUAAAGGUAUCUUACUAUCUGAUCAUUAAGGAAACAUUCAGUGAGAUGUGUAGAGAGUGAGAUGAUAAAGGUAUCUUACUAUCUGAUCAUUAAUGAAACAUGUUGAAGUGCUGGCUUCUCUGACAACAAUGCAGCAGCCAGUAUGUCCUCCUUCUAACUUUAGAUUCUGCUCCUGAAUGCUCUGGAUUUGUUUGGACCAGAGAAGGUAGGCGGUUUUAAGGCGACCCCUCACACACGGCCGUUUUGGACGCCCCUCGGUUUGUCAGAUAUGAGAGCAGUUAUCAGGUCAACAGGUGUUGCAGCGAUGGAAGCGGGCAAGAGAAGUGGUUCAGAUAGAAGUGAUUGUACCCGACCUAAAAAGCCUCUGCAUGUUUCUAAUAAGCUCCACGAGCAGAAACGUGCCAUGUCCAGUUUAGUUUGAUAUCUCUGUAUCUUUUAACUUCUCUUAACCGCUGUCUCCAUGUCUUCUUUUAACGUCUUCUAUGUCAACCUCAUUCAUGCCAUAAGCUCCACCAUGAGGAGUGACGCUGUGAGCCCAAUUAGCAGAGAAUUCUGUUUAGAGCGCCUUGCUUUCUAAAUGUAAGUGUCAACAGCAAUUCAAUCAUUUUAGGGUAAAUUUUCAAUUAUUUUAAUUUAAAUGAAAAAAAUACAGCACAGAAUUUAAUUAGCACAAUAAAAAAAUAUAUAAAAUGUACCCUUUCAUUUUAGGGUAAAUUUUCAUUUACAAUCAUUUUGUCCUUCCUCUCGUCAAUACGGUGAAUCAGACAUUAUUUCAACUCUGUUUAAAGUAGUUAAUCCAACAGAAGCUGUGCAGCUGGUCACGCACGCCGCAGUAAAAGGCGAGGACAGAGUCCAAAGCGGUCGUGUUGAAGGCCCGAGGCCAAACACUGUCGUCCCUCAGCUCCAUCACAUCUCCACUCAGCUGCACGGAGCAUUGUGUUAAAAAUAAAUUAAAAAAACACACCGCCUCGGCUGAAACGCGGUGACCAGGAGGAAACAACACGCACUCUCCCUGACC
Long non-coding RNA from Labrus mixtus (cuckoo wrasse), 1123 nucleotides. RefSeq lists it as uncharacterized. The record is from RefSeq and is a predicted model, not a curated record. The transcript has 3 exons. NCBI's taxonomy places the organism in Eukaryota, Metazoa, Chordata, Actinopteri, Labriformes, Labridae.